UCAAUAAGACGAGUGGCCUAGGCUAGUGACCUCCAUUGCACAUAACGGAGGGGUGCUUAGCUUAAGGUCUCCCCAAGUGGGAGAGCCUGCGUCAUUAUUUGUGGCAGAGGGGGCCUGCGUUCGCGCGGUCCCUACCAUUCUUUUUACAUGAAACCUUUGUUAAAUAAAGCUGUAAAAGGGCUCAGUGAAUUUGUGGAAGACACUCUUUUGCAUUGGAGACGGUGCAGCCGGUUUGAUCGCAUCGAACCGGUGGCUGUGGUGGUACCGAUUGGACGGUCCAUAUUGUGACGAUGAAAGAUAGAAUUGAGAACUGCUGGAGAGUAUGAGAGUAACGCAUCAUUAUUUGG
RNAcentral lists this small RNA (347 nucleotides) under Arabidopsis thaliana (thale cress). Its description in RNAcentral is "putative long intergenic non-coding RNA". The stretch from base 1 to 135 matches the Rfam family "U1 spliceosomal RNA", at positions 30 to 166 of the family's 166-position model. The record is from RNAcentral. Lineage: Eukaryota; Viridiplantae; Streptophyta; Magnoliopsida; Brassicales; Brassicaceae.